RNAcentral lists this unclassified non-coding RNA (425 nucleotides) under soil metagenome. Its description in RNAcentral is "partial contains 5.8S ribosomal RNA, internal transcribed spacer 2, and large subunit ribosomal RNA". The stretch from base 1 to 120 matches the Rfam family "5.8S ribosomal RNA", at positions 35 to 154 of the family's 154-position model. The record is from RNAcentral.
GAUGAAGAACGUAGCGAAAUGCGAUACGUAAUGUGAAUUGCAGAAUUCAGUGAAUCAUCGAAUCUUUGAACGCAUAUUGCGCUCUUUGGUAUUCCGAAGAGCAUGCUUGUUUGAGUAUCAGUAAACACCUCAACCUCUUCUUGAUUUUUCAAAAGGAGGGUGGACUUGAGCUAUCCCAACAACCUUUACCGGUCGGCGGGCGGCUUGAAAUGCAGGUGCAGCUGGACUUUUAUCUGAGCUAAAAGCAUAUCUAUUUAGUCCUCGUCAAACAGGAUUAUUACUUUUGCUGCAGCUAACAUAAAGGAGACUAGUUCUUGUGCUGACUGAUGCAGGAUUCACAGAGACAGCUUCGGCUGACUUUGUAAACUCGAUCUCAAAUCAAGUAAGACUACCCGCUGAACUUAAGCAUAUCAAUAAGCGGAGGA